This 791-nucleotide ribosomal RNA is filed under the name uncultured bacterium. Its description in RNAcentral is "bacterial SSU rRNA". It matches the Rfam family "Bacterial small subunit ribosomal RNA", at positions 8 to 796 of the family's 1533-position model. The record is from RNAcentral.
AGAGUUUGAUCAUGGCUCAGAUUGAACGCUGGCGGCAUGCCUUACACAUGCAAGUCGAACGGCAGCACGGGGGCAACCCUGGUGGCGAGUGGCGAACGGGUGAGUAAUAUAUCGGAACGUGCCCUAGAGUGGGGGAUAACGUAGCGAAAGUUACGCUAAUACCGCAUACGAUCUACGGAUGAAAGUGGGGGAUCGCAAGACCUCAUGCUCGUGGAGCGGCCGAUAUCUGAUUAGCUAGUUGGUGGGGUAAAGGCCUACCAAGGCAUCGAUCAGUAGCUGGUCUGAGAGGACGACCAGCCACACUGGGACUGAGACACGGCCCAGACUCCUACGGGAGGCAGCAGUGGGGAAUUUUGGACAAUGGGGGCAACCCUGAUCCAGCAAUGCCGCGUGAGUGAAGAAGGCCUUCGGGUUGUAAAGCUCUUUUGUCAGGGAAGAAACGGUUGUUCCUAAUACGGAUGACUAAUGACGGUACCUGAAGAAUAAGCACCGGCUAACUACGUGCCAGCAGCCGCGGUAAUACGUAGGGUGCGAGCGUUAAUCGGAAUUACUGGGCGUAAAGCGUGCGCAGGCGGUUGUGCAAGACAGAUGUGAAAUCCCCGGGCUUAACCUGGGAAUUGCAUUUGUGACUGCACGGCUAGAGUGUGUCAGAGGGGGGUAGAAUUCCACGUAGCAGUGAAAUGCGUAGAUAUGUGGAGGAAUACCGAUGGCGAAGGCAGCCCCCUGGGAUAACACUGACGCUCAUGCACGAAAGCGUGGGGAGCAAACAGGAUUAGAUACCCUAGUAGUCC